This 744-nucleotide ribosomal RNA is filed under the name uncultured bacterium. RNAcentral describes it as "bacterial SSU rRNA". It matches the Rfam family "Bacterial small subunit ribosomal RNA", at positions 28 to 770 of the family's 1533-position model. The record is from RNAcentral.
GAUGAACGCUGGCGGCGUGCUUAACACAUGCAAGUCGAACGGGGAUUAUUUUGACAGAGACUUCGGGUGAAGUCGUUGUAAUCCUAGUGGCGGACGGGAGAGUAACGCGUGGGUAACCUGCCUCACACUGGGAGAUAACAGUCAGAAGUGACUGCUAAUACCGCAUAAGCGCACGGGAUUGCAUGAUCCAGUGUGAAAAACUCCGGUGGUGUGAGAUGGACCCGCGUUGGAUUAGCCAGGUGGCGGGGUAACGGCCUACCAAAGCGACGAUCCAUAGCCGGCCCGAGAGGGUGGACGGCCACAUUGGGACUGAGACACGGCCCAGACUCCUACGGGAGGCAGCAGUGGGGAAUAUUGCACAAUGGGGGAAACCCUGAUGCAGCGACGCCGCGUGAAGGAAGAAGUAUCUUGGGUAUGUAAACUUCUAUCAGCAGGGAAGAAAAUGACGGUACCUGACUAAGAAGCCCCGGCUAACUACGUGCCAGCAGCCGCGGUAAUACGUAGGGGGCAAGCGUUAUCCGGAUUUACUGGGUGUAAAGGGAGCGUAGACGGAGCAGCAAGUCUGAUGUGAAAGGCGGGGGCUCAACCCCCGGACUGCAUUGGAAACUGUUGAUCUUGAGUACCGGAGAGGUAAGCGGAAUUCCUAGUGUAGCGGUGAAAUGCGUAGAUAUUAGGAGGAACACCAGUGGCGAAGGCGGCUUACUGGACGGUAACUGACGUUGAGGCUCGAAAGCGUGGGGAGCA